GUGUCACAUGAUGUGCUGAUUGUUCAAUUCCUUUACCUGCACCGUGAUGAACAUUCCCAAGCUGAUG
RNAcentral lists this small nucleolar RNA (67 nucleotides) under Euglena gracilis. RNAcentral describes it as "Eg-m70.1". Lineage: Eukaryota; Euglenozoa; Euglenophyceae; Euglenales; Euglenaceae. The record is from RNAcentral.